This 492-nucleotide ribosomal RNA is filed under the name uncultured bacterium. RNAcentral's name for it is "partial 16S ribosomal RNA". It matches the Rfam family "Bacterial small subunit ribosomal RNA", at positions 29 to 507 of the family's 1533-position model. The record is from RNAcentral.
AGUGAACGCUGGCGGUAGGCCUAACACAUGCAAGUCGAACGGCAGCACAGUAAGAGCUUGCUCUUACGGGUGGCGAGUGGCGGACGGGUGAGGAAUACAUCGUAAUCUACUUUUUCGUGGGGGAUAACGUAGGGAAACUUACGCUAAUACCGCAUACGACCUACGGGUGAAAGCAGGGGAUCUUCGGACCUUGCGCGAUUGAAUGAGCCGAUGUCGGAUUAGCUAGUUGGCGGGGUAAAGGCCCACCAAGGCGACGAUCCGUAGCUGGUCUGAGAGGAUGAUCAGCCACACGGGAUCUGAGACACGGCCCAGACUCCUACGGGAGGAAGCAGUCGGGAAUAUUGGACGAUGGGCGCAAGCCUGAUCCAGCCAUACCGCGUGGGUGAUGAAGGCCUUCGGGUUGUAAAGCCCUUUUGUUGGGAAAGAAAAGCAGCAGGUUAAUACCCCGCUGUUCUGACGGUACCCAAAGAAUAAGCACCGGCUAACUUCGUG